RNAcentral lists this transfer RNA (67 nucleotides) under Diaphanosoma excisum. Its description in RNAcentral is "tRNA-Asp". It matches the Rfam family "tRNA". From Rfam's summary of the family: Transfer RNA (tRNA) molecules are approximately 80 nucleotides in length. Their secondary structure includes four short double-helical elements and three loops (D, anti-codon, and T loops). Lineage: Eukaryota; Metazoa; Arthropoda; Branchiopoda; Diplostraca; Sididae. The record is from RNAcentral.
AAGAACUUAGUUAAAUUAAUAACAUUAGCUUGUCAAGCUAAAAUUACUUCCUGAAAAGUAGCUCUUA